CAGUGUAUUUGUCUACAUUUCUAAUCUGUACCAGCUCACAAUUGCCUCUCUGUAGUAUUUCCUUCAAAAACAAUUAUAUUGAAUUGCAGAAAAUAAUAAACAUAAAUGUCUUUGUAGUCACGUUGCAGCACAUGAUUUCUUUUCUGAUGGAGGAAGGUUUCUUGUGUAACCUACUGCACGUUCAUGUUGAUUUCCAUACAAGGAAAUGAAAUGAGUUACCACAACCAUGCUUUCAACCACCAGUUACACACCAGCUUGCUGGCACAGGUCGUUAUCAGCAAUGCAAAGCAAAGUGCACAGAAGCAGGUGGCAUUGACUGCUACGAGAGGUGCUAUGGGGAUGUGGCAUCCGAAGGGGCAGCGCAGCUUCUCGAUCAACAACGAACAAGCCAGGAGAGAAGACACUGGACAUUUACCAGGACCCACAAGUUUCAUUUUGUAAAAAAUGAAAAUGAACCCAAUCGUUUGCUGAGGCUGCAGCUGUAAGCACUGAGACUCGAGGCUGCAUGACACUGCCAGAGCAGCUUCAAAACACAAAGAAGCUUCUCUUGGAAGAAAAAGGAGAUUCAAGAGCAUUGUCUUGAGGAUAGGAUGCUGGCACUAGAAGAGAUAAGUAAUGUCCCCAACGUUGCAGCGAUCACCUAUGAGAGAGCAGAUGUGGUGGAGUCGCUGUCCCUGGCAGCGUUCAAGAGGCAUCUGGAUGAGGAGCUACAAGAUACACUUUAGAGGCUUGUGGUAGCAAUGGUAAUGGGAGGAUGGUUGGACUAGAUGAUCUUGUAGGUCCUUUCCAACCUUGUGAUUCUAUCAUUCUAUGAUCCUUACCACCUGAGCACUUUUAUCACAAAACUGCUUUCUGAAAUUAAAGAAAACGCUCAGCAUGUAACCUACAACCUUUCUUAGAGUCCAAGAUCAUCAUAACACAUCAAGAGCAUGAGGGGGUAAAUCUUCACGUGUAAAUUUGAUUAAGCUGCAGUAAUGAAUACCAGGAAAGAGUAUGACCACAUGCACUGAAGGGCAACAAAGCUGUGAAAGGUCUGGAGCACAAGCCUUACGGGCAAUGGCUGAGAGAACUGGGAUUGUUCAGUCUGGAGAAGAGGAGGCUCAGGAGAGACCUUAUCGCUCACUACUAUGACCUGAAAGGAGGUUGUAGCAAGACAGAUGUUGGCCUCUUCUCCCAGAUAACAGUCAUAACACAAGAGGGAAUGUCCUCAAGUUAUAUCAGGAGAUAUUCAGGUUGGAUAUCAGGAAAAAAUUCCUUCUCAGAAGGAGUGGUGAUGCAGUGGCACAGGCUGCCCAGGGAGGUGGUGCAGUCACCAUCCCUGGAGGUGUUCAAGAACCGUGUGGAUGUGGCACCGAGGGAUGUGGGCAGUGGGCAUGGUGGGGGUGGGCUGAUGGUUGGACUGGACGACCUUAGAGCUCUUUCCCAACCUUUAUGAUUCUAUGACUGUAUGCACCAGCACACAGACUCAUUGGAGAAUCCAGAGGAAAAUUCAGGACAUCUGGGAAAUCUGCCUUUUGUCUGUGAAAGCAUUUGGGCUACCAGAGACAGGGAUUGAAGAGUUUGUUCUUUGUUCUCAAGGACAAACUCUUUCACAGCUUGCCAGUUUGUGACAGAGAUCAAUAAAUGGAAAAAACUGGUUCCUAACAGAAGUACAUAUACAUUUUGGAGGAUGUUUGUUAAAUAAUUCAAAUUAAAUAAUAGGUGUGGCUGAGGGUAAAUGUUAUAUGUAGCUUCAUGUUUUUACUCAAAUCCAGCAAUAACACUUCACAAACUUAACUUUAAUGGGACACCAUUAUAGGUACAGAUGCUUUGUCAAACAGGAGUGGGUUUCAUCUCACACAGAAAAAGAAGGAAAUGCUUUACGUCUUGUAUUCUUCCUGGAGAAGAGGUUAGAAGAAGCAUGAAUUUCCUUUUCAGUCCUAAUAUGUAUUUCUAUUUUUAUUAAUUUUCUUUUUAAAACUAGCUCCAGAUUUUUCUACUCCUUGCAGAAAAUUCAGAGAAUACCUUCCAUCACCCCAUCUGCUUACAAAAUAAUAUGCACUUAACUCUAUACAUGCUUAAUUCUGUAAAAGAUGCUUAGCAUGAGAAGCCCUAAGUCUGACUAGCAGUUGUUACUUUUCGUAAUUCUUCAUUAAAUGCAGGAACCUGUUUCUGGAAGAGGGAAUAUGUCGAGAUUUCCAAGC
Molecule: long non-coding RNA, 2183 nt
Filed under: Meleagris gallopavo (turkey)
Lineage: Eukaryota; Metazoa; Chordata; Aves; Galliformes; Phasianidae
Description: lncRNA (ENSMGAG00000021413.1)
Source: RNAcentral